RNAcentral lists this long non-coding RNA (313 nucleotides) under Cricetulus griseus (Chinese hamster). RNAcentral describes it as "lncRNA (ENSCGRG00015030143.1)". The record is from RNAcentral. Lineage: Eukaryota; Metazoa; Chordata; Mammalia; Rodentia; Cricetidae.
AAGAUUCAUGGCAUUUACACUUUGAAACUAUAGUACCCUUUACUCACUUAAACUCUGUCUAUUCACAGGAAUGGGAGUUCCCAGAAUGGCUUCAACCUGUCCACUGUAAUAUUCCCAAUAUACAGAUUAGAGAAAUAUGCUGUAUUAGACCUCAGAGACCACCCCCACCUAAAACCCAUCCUGCAACUUUGUCAACUCUGCUCUACUUCAGCCAGAAACUGGAAGCAGCCUAUAUGCCUCUCAACUGAAGAAUGGAUACAGAAAAUGUGGUACAUUUACACAAUGGAGUACUACUCAGCAGAAAAAAAAAAAC